RNAcentral lists this ribosomal RNA (575 nucleotides) under uncultured bacterium. Its description in RNAcentral is "bacterial SSU rRNA". It matches the Rfam family "Bacterial small subunit ribosomal RNA", at positions 338 to 916 of the family's 1533-position model. The record is from RNAcentral.
CCUACGGGAGGCAGCAGUAGGGAAUAUUGGACAAUGGGUGCGAGCCUGAUCCAGCCAUGCCGCGUGCAGGAAGACGGCCUUCUGGGUUGUAAACUGCUUUUGCCAGGGGAUAAAAAGUCCCUGCGGGGAAAAUUGAAGGUACCUGGUGAAUAAGCCACGGCUAACUACGUGCCAGCAGCCGCGGUAAUACGUAGGUGGCAAGCGUUGUCCGGAUUUAUUGGGUUUAAAGGGUCCGUAGGUGGACCGUUAAGUCAGUGGUGAAAGCCCACAGCUCAACUGUGGAAAUGCCAUUGAUACUGGCGGUCUUGAGUACAAGUGAGGUUGGCGGAAUGUGUGGUGUAGCGGUGAAAUGCUUAGAUAUCACACAGAACACCGAUUGCGAAGGCAGCUGGCCAACUUGUAACUGACACUGAGGGACGAAAGUGUGGGGAUCAAACAGGAUUAGAUACCCUGGUAGUCCACACCGUAAACGAUGAUUACUAGAUUUUGGUCGUAAGAUCAGAGUCCAAGCGAAAGUGUUUAGUAAUCCACCUGGGGAGUACGUCCGCAAGGAUGAAACUCAAAUGAAUUGACGG